UGCGGUGGCUAUAUCAGUGGGGAUCCACCUCUUACCAUUCCGAACAGAGAAGUUAAGCCCACCCAAGCCGAUGGUACUGCUACACCAAGUGGGAGAGUAGGUCGCCGCCGCUU
RNAcentral lists this ribosomal RNA (113 nucleotides) under Candidatus Cryptobacteroides equifaecalis. Lineage: Bacteria; Pseudomonadati; Bacteroidota; Bacteroidia; Bacteroidales. The record is from RNAcentral.